UACAGAGGUCUCAAGCGUUGUUCGGAUUCAUUGGGCGUAAAGGGUGCGUAGGUGGCGGGGUAAGUCAGGUGUGAAAUCUCGGGGCUCAACCCCGAAACUGCAUUUGAUACUGCCUUGCUCGAGUACUGGAGAGGAGAUUGGAAUUUACGGUGUAGCAGUGAAAUGCGUAGAUAUCGUAAGGAAGACCAGUGGCGAAGGCGAAUCUCUGGACAGUUCCUGACGCUGAGGCACGAAGGCCAGGGGAGCAAACGGG
RNAcentral lists this ribosomal RNA (253 nucleotides) under uncultured bacterium. RNAcentral's name for it is "partial 16S ribosomal RNA". It matches the Rfam family "Bacterial small subunit ribosomal RNA", at positions 524 to 776 of the family's 1533-position model. The record is from RNAcentral.